This 230-nucleotide long non-coding RNA is filed under the name Lathyrus oleraceus (garden pea). RNAcentral describes it as "Pisum sativum (pea) long non-coding RNA (PSAT_LNC007497)". The record is from RNAcentral. Lineage: Eukaryota; Viridiplantae; Streptophyta; Magnoliopsida; Fabales; Fabaceae.
GCUGAUGCUGUCAAGGUUCUGACUGAAGAUUCUUAUUUCAGCUUUGUGUUUCUUCUCUUCAUGCUUCAUCAACUUUUCAUCAUAAGCCAAUGAAUUUGAAGAUAAGAUUAAAGUGGAUACAUGAUCAAAUAGUACAUAGUCCAAAUAAAAAAUAUUCCUUCUACUCCUGAAAACAUGGACGAAGGACAAUACUAUUCAUCACACCUGUCACUAAUCCGUUAGUGGACAAC